UCCAGACUCCUACGGGAGGCAGCAGUGGGGAAUAUUGAACAAUGGGGGAAACCCUGAUGCAGCGACGCCGCGUGAGUGAAGAAGUAAUUCGUUAUGUAAAGCUCUAUAAGCAGGGAAGAAAAUGACGGUACCUGAGUAAGAAGCCCCGGCUAACUACGUGCCAGCAGCCGCGGUAAUACGUAGGGGGCAAGCGUUAUCCGGAUUUACUGGGUGUAAAGGGAGCGUAGACGGCAGUGCAAGUCCGGAGUGAAAGCCCGGGGCUCAGCCCUGGGACUGCUCUGGAAACUGUAAAGCUGGAGUGCGGGAGGGGCAGGCGGAAUUCCUGGUGUAGCGGUGAAAUGCGUAGAUAUCAGGAGGAACACCGGCGGCGAAGGCGGCCUGCUGGACCGUAACUGACGUUGAGGCUCGAAAGCGUGGGGAGCAAACAGGAUUAGAUCCCCUCGUA
This 445-nucleotide ribosomal RNA is filed under the name uncultured bacterium. Its description in RNAcentral is "bacterial SSU rRNA". It matches the Rfam family "Bacterial small subunit ribosomal RNA", at positions 330 to 792 of the family's 1533-position model. The record is from RNAcentral.